RNAcentral lists this ribosomal RNA (254 nucleotides) under uncultured prokaryote. RNAcentral's name for it is "partial 16S ribosomal RNA". It matches the Rfam family "Bacterial small subunit ribosomal RNA", at positions 524 to 777 of the family's 1533-position model. The record is from RNAcentral.
UACGGAGGAUGCAAGCGUUAUCCGGAUUCAUUGGGUUUAAAGGGUGCGUAGGCGGACUAUUAAGUCAGUGGUGAAAGCCUGCAGCUUAACUGCAGAACUGCCAUUGAUACUGAUAGUCUUGAGUUUGGUUAAGGUAGGCGGAAUGUAUAAUGUAGCGGUGAAAUGCUUAGAUAUUACACAGAACACCGAUUGCGAAGGCAGCUUACUAAUCCAUCAUUGACGCUGAGGCACGAAAGCGUGGGGAUCAAACAGGA